Molecule: ribosomal RNA, 253 nt
Filed under: uncultured bacterium
Lineage: Bacteria
Description: partial 16S ribosomal RNA
Rfam family: Bacterial small subunit ribosomal RNA
Source: RNAcentral
UACGUAGGGCGCAAGCGUUAUCCGGAUUCACUGGGUUUAAAGGGUGCGUAGGUGGGUUGGUAAGUCAGUGGUGAAAUCCCCGAGCUUAACUUGGGAACUGCCAUUGAUACUAUUAAUCUUGAAUAUUGUGGAGGUCAGCGGAAUAUGUCAUGUAGCGGUGAAAUGCUUAGAGAUGACAUAGAACACCAAUUGCGCAGGCAGCUGGCUACGCAUAUAUUGACACUGAGGCACGAAAGCGUGGGGAUCAAACAGG